UACGGAGGGUGCGAGCGUUGUCCGGAAUCACUGGGCGUAAAGGGCGCGUAGGUGGCGGGUCAAGCGUGCGGUGAAAGCUCGGGGCUCAACCCCGAGUCGGCCGUGCGAACUAGCUUGCUUGAGCACUGUAGAGGCAGAUGGAAUUCCGGGUGUAGCGGUGGAAUGCGUAGAUAUCUGGAGGAACACCGGUGGCGAAGGCGGCAUCCUGGACCGGUAUUGACGCUGAGGAGCGAAAGCCAGGGGAGCAAACGGG
This 253-nucleotide ribosomal RNA is filed under the name uncultured bacterium. RNAcentral describes it as "partial 16S ribosomal RNA". It matches the Rfam family "Bacterial small subunit ribosomal RNA", at positions 524 to 776 of the family's 1533-position model. The record is from RNAcentral.